This 29-nucleotide non-coding RNA is filed under the name Rattus norvegicus (Norway rat). Lineage: Eukaryota; Metazoa; Chordata; Mammalia; Rodentia; Muridae. The record is from RNAcentral.
UGUGAACAAAGAAACUUCGACAGAAGCUU